CUGCUGCCUCCCGUAGGAGUUUGGACCGUGUCUCAGUUCCAAUGUGGGGGACCUUCCUCUCAGAACCCCUACUGAUCGUCGCCCCGGUGGGCCGUUACCCCGCCGGCAAGCUAAUCAGACGCAUCCCCAUCCUUUACCGGCCGAAGCCUUUGGUCAUGAAAAUAUGCAUCAACAUGACAACAUACGGUAUUAAUCCGCCUUUCGACGGGCUGUCCCAUAGUAAAGGGCAGGUUGGAUACGCGUUACUCACCCGUACGCCGGUCGCCAUCAG
Molecule: ribosomal RNA, 271 nt
Filed under: uncultured bacterium
Lineage: Bacteria
Description: partial 16S ribosomal RNA
Source: RNAcentral